This 382-nucleotide ribosomal RNA is filed under the name uncultured eukaryote. Its description in RNAcentral is "partial 18S ribosomal RNA". It matches the Rfam family "Eukaryotic small subunit ribosomal RNA", at positions 592 to 976 of the family's 1831-position model. The record is from RNAcentral.
UGUAAGCGUAUACCAAAGUUGUUGCAGUUAAAACGCUCGUAGUCGGAAUUUGGCAGUUCCGGAUGUGUGCACGUUGUGUGCGCACUUCGCGGGGAUUGCUUUUGUGGUCUUGCGUAGGAUGAGGCACUUUUAUUAGUGAACGUCCUCACGCAACCACUUUUUACUGUGAGAAAAUCAGAGUGCUCAAAGCAGGCAUUUGCCGCGAAUGUAUUAGCAUGGAAUAAUAGAAUAGGACUUGGUUCUAUUUUGUUGGUUUGUUGGGACUGAGUAAUGAUUAAGAGGGACAGUUGGGGGCAUUUGUAUUUCGGUGCUAGAGGUGAAAUUCUUAGAUUACCGAAAGACAAACUGCUGCGAAAGCGUCUGCCAAGGAUGUUUUCAUUGA